Molecule: non-coding RNA, 131 nt
Organism: Dipodomys ordii (Ord's kangaroo rat)
Lineage: Eukaryota; Metazoa; Chordata; Mammalia; Rodentia; Heteromyidae
Source: Rfam
GGAGCCGCCGCCGUCCGCGCCGCGCCUCAGCCGCCAGCGCAGGGUCGCCGUCGGGGGAGCCGCCAGCACACGGGCCUCGGCUCAGCAUGAUGGACCUGGAGCUGCCGCCGCCGGGACUGCCGUCCCAGCAG